Molecule: ribosomal RNA, 253 nt
Filed under: uncultured bacterium
Lineage: Bacteria
Description: partial 16S ribosomal RNA
Rfam family: Bacterial small subunit ribosomal RNA
Source: RNAcentral
UACGAGAGCUACGAGCGUUAUCCGGAAUUAUUGGGCGUAAAGGGUGCGUAGGUUGUCCUGUUAGUCUUCUGUUAAAUUCUUCGGCUUAACCGGGGGCAUGCGGAGGAAACGGCAGGACUUGAAAGUGCGAGGGGUGUACGGAACUCAUGGUGUAGGGGUGAAAUCCGUUGAUAUCAUGGGGAACACCGAAAGCGAAGGCAGUACACUGGCGCAUAUUUGACACUGAAGCACGAAAGCGUGGGUAGCGAAUGGG